This 497-nucleotide ribosomal RNA is filed under the name uncultured bacterium. RNAcentral describes it as "partial 16S ribosomal RNA". It matches the Rfam family "Bacterial small subunit ribosomal RNA", at positions 28 to 507 of the family's 1533-position model. The record is from RNAcentral.
GAUGAACGCUGGCGGCGUGCCUAAUACAUGCAAGUCGAGCGAACAGACGAGGAGCUUGCUCCUCUGACGUUAGCGGCGGACGGGUGAGUAACACGUGGAUAACCUACCUAUAAGACUGGGAUAACUUCGGGAAACCGGAGCUAAUACCGGAUAAUAUAUUGAACCGCAUGGUUCAAUAGUGAAAGACGGUUUUGCUGUCACUUAUAGAUGGAUCCGCGCCGAAUUAGCUAGUUGGUAAGGUAACGGCUUACCAAGGCGACGAUGCGUAGCCGACCUGAGAGGGUGAUCGGCCACACUGGAACUGAGACACGGUCCAGACUCCUACGGGAGGCAGCAGUAGGGAAUCUUCCGCAAUGGGCGAAAGCCUGACGGAGCAACGCCGCGUGAGUGAUGAAGGUCUUCGGAUCGUAAAACUCUGUAAUUAGGGAAGAACAAAUGUGUAAGUAACUAUGCACGUCUUGACGGUACCUAAUCAGAAAGCCACGGCUAACUACGUG